UAUGUAGGGGGCAAGCGUUGUCCGGAUUUAUUGGGCGUAAAGAGCGUGUAGGCGGCCAUUCAGGUCAGCUGUGAAAACUCGAGGCUCAACCUCGAGACGUCGGUUGAAACCGUUUGGCUAGAGUCCGGAAGAGGAGAGUGGAAUUCCCGGUGUAGCGGUGAAAUGCGCAGAUAUCGGGAAGAACACCCGUGACGAAGGCGGCUCUCUGGGACGGUACUGACGCUGAGACGCGAAAGCGUGGGGAGCGAACAGG
Molecule: ribosomal RNA, 253 nt
Filed under: uncultured bacterium
Lineage: Bacteria
Description: partial 16S ribosomal RNA
Rfam family: Bacterial small subunit ribosomal RNA
Source: RNAcentral